UCUCAGAAUGAACGCUGAUGGCAUGCCUUACACAUGCAAGUCGAACGGACACUAUCUAGCUUGCUGGAGAAAUGUUAGUGGCAAACGGGUGAGUAAUGCAUAGGAAUCUGUCCUGUAGUAAAGAAUAACGUAUGGAAACAUACGCUAGUACUGUAUACUACCUAGUGCUUGAUUGUACUAGGGAAAGGCUUCGGCCGCUACUUGAGGAGCCUAUGUCGGAUUAGUUAGUUGGUGGGGUAAAAGCCUACCAAGACUGUGAUCUGUAGCUGGUCUGAGAGGAUGAUCAGCCACGUUGGGACUGAGACACGGCCCAAACUCCUACGGGAGGCAGUAGUGGGGAAUAUUGGACAAUGAGCGAAAGCUUGAUCCAGCAAUGCCACGUGAGUGAUGAAGGCUUUCGGGUCGUAAAGCUCUUUCAGUGAGGAAGAUAAUGACGGUACUCACAGAAGAAGGACCGGCUAACUCCGUGCCAGCAGCCGCGGUAAUACGGAGGGUUCUAGCGUUGUUCGGAUUUAUUGGGCAUAAAGGGUACGUAGGCGGUUUAGUAUGUCAGAUGUGAAAGCCCGAGGCUCAACCUCGGAAUUGCAUUUGAAACUGCUUAACUUGAGUAUUGUAUGGGAUGGCGGAACUUCUAGUGUAGGGGUGAAAUCCGUAGAUAUUAGAAAGAACACCAAAGGUGAAGACAGCUAUCUAGACAAUUACUGACGCUGAGGUACGAAGGCGUGGGGAGCAAACAGGAUUAGGUACCCUGGUAGUCCACGCAGUAAACGAUGAAUGCUAGGUGUCUGGGCCUUGAGCCUGGGUGCCGUAGUUAAUACGUUAAGCAUUCCGCCUGGGGAGUACGAUCGCAAGAUUAAAACUCAAAGGAAUUGACGGGGACCCGCACAAGCGGUGGAGCAUGUGGUUUAAUUCGAUAUUACGCGAAGAACCUCACCAACUCUUGACAUACCAAUCGCAGAGAACAGAGAUGUUUUCCUUCAGUUAGGCUGGAUUGGAUACAGGUGUUGCAUGGCUGUCGUCAGCUCGUGCCGUGAGGUGUUAGGUUAAGUCCUUUAACGAGCGCAACCCCUAUCUUUAUUUGCCAUCAGGUUAUGCUGGGAACUAUAAAGAAACUGCCGUUGAUAAAACGGAGGAAGAUGGGGAUGAUGUCAAGUCAUCACGGCCCUUAUGAGUUGGGCUACACACAUGCUACAAUGGAAAUUACAACGGGAAGCAAAAGAGCAAUCUAGAGCCAAUCCUUCAAAAAUUUUCUUAGUUCGGAUUGCAGGCUGCAACUUGCCUGCAUGAAGCUGGAAUCGCUAGUAAUCGUGGAUCAGCACGCCACGGUGAAUACGUUCUCGGGUCUUGUACACACUGCUC
RNAcentral lists this ribosomal RNA (1359 nucleotides) under metagenome. Its description in RNAcentral is "bacterial SSU rRNA". It matches the Rfam family "Bacterial small subunit ribosomal RNA", at positions 22 to 1395 of the family's 1533-position model. The record is from RNAcentral.